GAGUUUGAUCAUGGCUCAGAGCGAACGUUAGCGGCGCGCCUAACACAUGCAAGUCGCACGAGAAAGGGCUUCGGCCCCGGUACAGUGGCGCACGGGUGAGUAACACGUGGGUAACCUUCCCGGAAGUGGUGGAUAACCUGCCGAAAGGCGGGCUAAUACAGCAUACGAUGAGGGAGCUUCGGCUCUUUCAUGAAAGCAGGCCUCUGUUCACAAGCUUGCGCUUCCGGAUGGGCCCGCGGCCCAUCAGCUAGUUGGUGAGGUAACGGCUCACCAAGGCUACGACGGGUAGCUGGUCUGAGAGGAUGAUCAGCCACACUGGAACUGAGACACGGUCCAGACUCCUACGGGAGGCAGCAGUGGGGAAUCUUGCGCAAUGGACGAAAGUCUGACGCAGCGACGCCGCGUGGGCGACGAAGGCCUUCGGGUUGUAAAGCCCU
RNAcentral lists this ribosomal RNA (437 nucleotides) under uncultured delta proteobacterium. RNAcentral's name for it is "bacterial SSU rRNA". It matches the Rfam family "Bacterial small subunit ribosomal RNA", at positions 9 to 434 of the family's 1533-position model. Lineage: Bacteria; Deltaproteobacteria. The record is from RNAcentral.